GGAAGGUUGCUAGAGCGGUAAUAGGUUGGAUUGCUAAUCCAAAGCCAGGGUAACACCUGCACAGGUUCGAUUCCUGUACCUUCCG
Molecule: transfer RNA, 85 nt
Filed under: bacterium
Lineage: Bacteria
Description: tRNA-Ser
Rfam family: tRNA
About the family: Transfer RNA (tRNA) molecules are approximately 80 nucleotides in length. Their secondary structure includes four short double-helical elements and three loops (D, anti-codon, and T loops).
Source: RNAcentral